UACGUAGGGUGCGAGCGUUGUCCGGAAUUAUUGGGCGUAAAGAGCUCGUAGGCGGUGUGUUACGUCGGCCGUGAAAACCUGCAGCUUAACUGUGGGCGUGCGGUCGAUACGGGCAUCACUGGAGUUCGGCAGGGGAGACUGGAAUUCCUGGUGUAGCGGUGAAAUGCGCAGAUAUCAGGAGGAACACCGAUGGCGAAGGCAGCUCGCUGGGACGGUACUGACGCUGAGGCGCGAAAGCGUGGGGAGCGAACAGG
RNAcentral lists this ribosomal RNA (254 nucleotides) under uncultured bacterium. RNAcentral's name for it is "partial 16S ribosomal RNA". It matches the Rfam family "Bacterial small subunit ribosomal RNA", at positions 524 to 776 of the family's 1533-position model. The record is from RNAcentral.